Molecule: unclassified non-coding RNA, 228 nt
Filed under: Hevea brasiliensis (rubber tree)
Lineage: Eukaryota; Viridiplantae; Streptophyta; Magnoliopsida; Malpighiales; Euphorbiaceae
Source: RNAcentral
AUGAGAUCCAUGAGAAAAGUUGAAUCUGGCAACAUUCAUGCCAGCCCGGAGAAGCUUCUCGACCAUGAAAACUGAGCGAGAUUCUGGGCCUAAAGUGCAUACAAUCUUGGUCUUAGGCCUCUUGACAUUGUUGUUGUUUUCAAUCGCCAUAGCCAAAAGGAAGGAGACAAAACUGAAAUAAUAAUAUUGGUGAGAGAAGGAAUAGUAGAAUAGUCGGUGGAAUAAUAA